Molecule: small nuclear RNA, 18 nt
Filed under: Arabidopsis thaliana (thale cress)
Lineage: Eukaryota; Viridiplantae; Streptophyta; Magnoliopsida; Brassicales; Brassicaceae
Description: snRNA_06072
Source: RNAcentral
UCCCUCCGAAGUUUCCCU